RNAcentral lists this ribosomal RNA (504 nucleotides) under Metschnikowia sp. 11-1089. RNAcentral's name for it is "eukaryotic LSU rRNA". It matches the Rfam family "Eukaryotic large subunit ribosomal RNA", at positions 68 to 659 of the family's 3401-position model. Lineage: Eukaryota; Fungi; Ascomycota; Pichiomycetes; Serinales; Metschnikowiaceae. The record is from RNAcentral.
CCAGGGAUUGCCUCAGUAACGGCGAGUGAAGCGGCAAAAGCUCAAAUUUGAAAUCCCCCGGGAAUUGUAAUUUGAAGAGAUUUGGGUCCGGCCGGCGGGGGUUAAGUCCACUGGAAAGUGGCGCCACAGAGGGUGACAGCCCCGUGAACCCCCUCAACGCCUUCAUCCCAGAUCUCCAAGAGUCGAGUUGUUUGGGAAUGCAGCUCUAAGUGGGUGGUAAAUUCCAUCUAAAGCUAAAUACCGGCGAGAGACCGAUAGCGAACAAGUACAGUGAUGGAAAGAUGAAAAGCACUUUGAAAAGAGAGUGAAAAAGUACGUGAAAUUGUUGAAAGGGAAGGGCUUGCAAGCAGACACUUAACUGGGCCAGCAUCGGGGCGGCGGGAAACAAAACCACCGGGGAAUGUACCUUUCGAGGAUUAUACCCCUGGUCUCUAUUUCCAUGUUGCCCCGAGGCCUGCAUUCUAAGGAUGCUGGCGUAAUGGUUGCAAGUCGCCCGUCUUGAAC